RNAcentral lists this long non-coding RNA (269 nucleotides) under Capsicum annuum. RNAcentral describes it as "long non-coding RNA (CANN_LNC005977)". The record is from RNAcentral. Lineage: Eukaryota; Viridiplantae; Streptophyta; Magnoliopsida; Solanales; Solanaceae.
AUUCUGUCAUGGGACACACUGAUAAUGACGAGAAAAAAAUGAGUAUAGAUGAACAGCCAUCUCAAACCGAGGAAGAAGCAGGUGAGGAAGCCCCCGUUACUGAAGGAGAGAAGAAAAAGAAUAAGAAGAAGAAAUCUGUUGAGACAGAAGAUGGUGCCGAACCUGAAGACACUCCGAAGAAGAAGAAGAAAAAGAAGAAACAUGCAGAUAAUGAAGUGGACGAAGAUGUUGAAACGGAAAAAAGCAAGAAAAAGAAGAAGAGGAAACAU